GCCCGCACAAGCGGUGGAGCAUGUGGUUUAAUUCGAUGCAACGCGAAGAACCUUACCUGGUCUUGACAUCCACGGAAUUUGGCAGAGAUGCCUUAGUGCCUUCGGGAACCGUGAGACAGGUGCUGCAUGGCUGUCGUCAGCUCGUGUUGUGAAAUGUUGGGUUAAGUCCCGCAACGAGCGCAACCCUUAUCCUUUGUUGCCAGCGGUCCGGCCGGGAACUCAAAGGAGACUGCCAGUGAUAAACUGGAGGAAGGUGGGGAUGACGUCAAGUCAUCAUGGCCCUUACGACCAGGGCUACACANNUGCUACAAUGGCAUAUACAAAGAGAAGCGACCUCGCGAGAGCAAGCGGACCUCAUAAAGUAUGUCGUAGUCCGGAUUGGAGUCUGCAACUCGACUCCAUGAAGUCGGAAUCGCUAGUAAUCGUGGAUCAGAAUGCCACGGUGAAUACGUUCCCGGGCCUUGUACACACCGCCCGUCACACCAUGGGAGUGGGUUGCAAAAGAAGUAGGUAGCUUAACUNUNGGGAGGGCGCUUACCACUNGUGNNCAAGANCGGGGUGAAGUCGUAACAAGGNAACCNU
RNAcentral lists this ribosomal RNA (582 nucleotides) under Enterobacter sp. RR1fE. RNAcentral's name for it is "bacterial SSU rRNA". It matches the Rfam family "Bacterial small subunit ribosomal RNA", at positions 919 to 1503 of the family's 1533-position model. Lineage: Bacteria; Pseudomonadati; Pseudomonadota; Gammaproteobacteria; Enterobacterales; Enterobacteriaceae. The record is from RNAcentral.